AUGCGGCCGCCGUCGCCGCCGCGGCCGCUGGCCUUCCCGACGCUGGACUCGCUCGCGGCGUACCUCCGGCCGCGCCUCCCGGGCCCGGCGCUCGCCUCCUGGGGAUCCGCGCCGGGGACCAAGAACCUGCUCAACCUCUUCCUGGAGCUCUCCUGCGGCGACUGCACGCUCCUGCCCGCGGCCUCCUCCCCGCCGGCCCUCGUUGUGCGCGCCGUCCACGUCGCCACCGUGCGCAUCCGCAACCGCCGGGGCGCGCUCCUCGUGGAGACCCGGCAGCUGCUCUCCGACGGCACGCUCCGCCGCCGGGCCGCGCGGCCGCUCUCCGAGAAGAUGCGCCCCGGGGAGACCCCCGAGGCCGCCGCGGCCCGCGCCGUCGUCGAGGAGCUCGGCGAGCGCGCCCGCGUCCGGAUCCUGGGGGCGGCCCCGGAGCCGCGCGUGGAGGAGCGGGAGUCCGUUUCCUACCCGGGGCUCCCCGCCAGGUACGUGCUGCACGCGGUGGACGCGGAGCUCGUCGAGGGCGUCCCGGAGGAGGGCGAGUUCGACACGGAGGAGGCCGGCGAGGGCGAGGGCCACGACGGCGGCGGCGCGGCCAUCACCGUGAAGCGGCACUACUGGUCAUGGGUCGACGACGAGGAGGCCCGCGGCGAGGCCGCCCCGGCCGCCGUCGCCGGUGCGCAAUAG
This 681-nucleotide ribosomal RNA is filed under the name Triticum aestivum (bread wheat). RNAcentral's name for it is "partial small subunit ribosomal RNA". The record is from RNAcentral. Lineage: Eukaryota; Viridiplantae; Streptophyta; Magnoliopsida; Poales; Poaceae.